RNAcentral lists this ribosomal RNA (381 nucleotides) under uncultured archaeon. RNAcentral's name for it is "bacterial SSU rRNA". It matches the Rfam family "Archaeal small subunit ribosomal RNA", at positions 345 to 728 of the family's 1478-position model. The record is from RNAcentral.
AAACUUUGCAAUACACGAAAGUGUGACAGGGCUAUCCCGAGUGCCAUCCGCUGAGGAAGGCUUUUACCCAGUCUAGAACGCUGGGGGAAUAAGGAGAGGGCAAGUCUGGUGUCAGCCGCCGCGGUAAUACCAGCUCUCCGAGUGGUGUGGAUGUUUAUUGGGCCUAAAGCAUCCGUAGCUGGCUAAGUUAGUCCCCUGUUAAAUCCAACGAAUUAAUCGUUGGAUCGCGGGGGAUACUGCUUGGCUAGGGGACGAGAGAGGCAGACGGUAUUUCCGGGGUAGGGGUGAAAUCCUAUAAUCCCGGGAAGACCACCAGUGGCGAAGGCUGUCUGCUAGAACGCGCCCGACGGUGAGGGAUGAAAGCUGGGGGAGCGAACCGGA